ACUCUAAGCGGUGGAUCACUCGGCUCAUGGGUCGAUGAAGAACGCAGCAAACUGUGCGUCAUCGUGUGAACUGCAGGACACAUGAACAUCGACAUUUUGAACGCAUAUCGCAGUCCAUGCUGUUAUGUACUUUAAUUAAUUUUAUAGUGCUGCUUGGACUACAUAUGGUUGAGGGUUGUAAGACUAUGCUAAUUAAGUUGCUUAUAAAUUUUUAUAAGCAUAUGGUAUAUUAUUGGAUAAAUAUAAUAAUUUUUAUUCAUAAUAUUAAAAAAUAAAUGAAAAACAUUAUCUCACAUUUGAAUGUGAAAAACGAAGAGAAAUAUUUUCUUUUUCAAUCAAAUAAUACUGAGAAAUGUCUAGCAUAAAAAAUUGAAAUAUUUUUCAUCUAGAAUUGUCUCUUAUUAAUGAUUCGGAAAUAGAAAAAUCUUGGUUAUGUUAUUAUUCUUCGUUGGUUCGUUAAAAAUGGAUAAAUAAAAACUUUGCAUACAAGAAUUAAUAAAAAUGUUAUAACGAAUUUAAUUAAAUGUUUUAUCAUUAUAUAUAAAGAAUUUAUGGCAAGAUAAAGUUAUAUACAACCUCAACUCAUAUGGGACUACCCCCUGAAUUUAAGCAUAUUAAUUAGGGGAGGAAAAGAAACUAACAAGGAUUUUCUUAGUAGCGGCGAGCGAAAAGAAAACAGUUCAGCACUAAGUCACUUUGUCUAUAUGGCAAAUGUGAGAUGCAGUGUAUGGAGCGUCAAUAUUCUAGUAUGAGAAAUUAACGAUUUAAGUCCUUCUUAAAUGAGGCCAUUUACCCAUAGAGGGUGCCAGGCCCGUAUAACGUUAAUGAUUACUAGAUGAUGUUUCCAAAGAGUCGUGUUGCUUGAUAGUGCAGCACUAAGUGGGUGGUAAACUCCAUCUAAAACUAAAUAUAACCAUGAGACCGAUAGUAAACAAGUACCGUGAGGGAAAGUUGAAAAGAACUCUGAAUAGAGAGUUAAACAGUACGUGAAACUGCUUAGAGGUUAAGCCCGAUGAACCUGAAUAUCCGUUAUGGAAAAUUCAUCAUUAAAAUUGUAAUAUUUAAAUAAUAUUAUGAGAAUAGUGUGCAUUUUUUCCAUAUAAGGACAUUGUAAUCUAUUAGCAUAUACCAAAUUUAUCAUAAAAUAUAACUUAUAGUUUAUUCCAAUUAAAUUGCUUGCAUUUUAACACAGAAUAAAUGUUAUUAAUUUGAUAAAGUGCUGAUAGAUUUAUAUGAUUACAGUGCGUUAAUUUUUCGGAAUUAUAUAAUGGCAUAAUUAUCAUUGAUUUUUGUGUUUAUUAUAUGCACUUGUAUGAUUAACAAUGCGAAAGAUUCAGGAUACCUUCGGGACCCGUCUUGAAACACGGACCAAGGAGUCUAACAUAUGUGCAAGUUAUUGGGAUAUAAACCUAAUAGCGUAAUUAACUUGACUAAUAAUGGGAUUAGUUUUUUAGCUAUUUAUAGCUAAUUAACACAAUCCCGGGGCGUUCUAUAUAGUUAUGUAUAAUGUAUAUUUAUAUUAUUUAUGCCUCUAACUGGAACGUACCUUGAGCAUAUAUGCUGUGACCCGAAAGAUGGUGAACUAUACUUGAUCAGGUUGAAGUCAGGGGAAACCCUGAUGGAAGACCGAAACAGUUCUGACGUGCAAAUCGAUUGUCAGAAUUGAGUAUAGGGGCGAAAGACCAAUCGAACCAUCUAGUAGCUGGUUCCUUCCGAAGUUUCCCUCAGGAUAGCUGGUGCAUUUUAAUAUUAUAUAAAAUAAUCUUAUCUGGUAAAGCGAAUGAUUAGAGGCCUUAGGGUCGAAACGAUCUUAACCUAUUCUCAAACUUUAAAUGGGUAAGAACCUUAACUUUCUUGAUAUGAAGUUCAAGGUUAUGAUAUAAUGUGCCCAGUGGGCCACUUUUGGUAAGCAGAACUGGCGCUGUGGGAUGAACCAAACGUAAUGUUACGGUGCCCAAAUUAACAACUCAUGCAGAUACCAUGAAAGGCGUUGGUUGCUUAAAACAGCAGGACGGUGAUCAUGGAAGUCGAAAUCCGCUAAGGAGUGUGUAACAACUCACCUGCCGAAGCAACUAGCCCUUAAAAUGGAUGGCGCUUAAGUUGUAUACCUAUACAUUACCGCUAAAGUAGAUGAUUUAUAUUACUUGUGAUAUAAAUUUUGAAACUUUAGUGAGUAGGAAGGUACAAUGGUAUGCGUAGAAGUGUUUGGCGUAAGCCUGCAUGGAGCUGCCAUUGGUACAGAUCUUGGUGGUAGUAGCAAAUAAUCGAAUGAGACCUUGGAGGACUGAAGUGGAGAAGGGUUUCGUGUGAACAGUGGUUGAUCACGAGUUAGUCGGUCCUAAGUUCAAGGCGAAAGCCGAAAAUUUUCAAGUAAAACAAAAAUGCCUAACUAUAUAAACAAAGCGAAUUAUAAUACACUUGAAUAAUUUUGAACGAAAGGGAAUACGGUUCCAAUUCCGUAACCUGUUGAGUAUCCGUUUGUUAUUAAAUAUGGGCCUCGUGCUCAUCCUGGCAACAGGAACGACCAUAAAGAAGCCGUCGAGAGAUAUCGGAAGAGUUUUCUUUUCUGUUUUAUAGCCGUACUACCAUGGAAGUCUUUCGCAGAGAGAUAUGGUAGAUGGGCUAGAAGAGCAUGACAUAUACUGUUGUGUCGAUAUUUUCUCCUCGGACCUUGAAAAUUUAUGGUGGGGACACGCAAACUUCUCAACAGGCCGUACCAAUAUCCGCAGCUGGUCUCCAAGGUGAAGAGUCUCUAGUCGAUAGAAUAAUGUAGGUAAGGGAAGUCGGCAAAUUAGAUCCGUAACUUCGGGAUAAGGAUUGGCUCUGAAGAUUGAGAUAGUCGGGCUUGAUUGGGAAACAAUAACAUGGUUUAUGUGCUCGUUCUGGGUAAAUAGAGUUUCUAGCAUUUAUGUUAGUUACUUGUUCCCCGGAUAGUUUAGUUACGUAGCCAAUUGUGGAACUUUCUUGCUAAAAUUUUUAAGAAUACUAUUUGGGUUAAACCAAUUAGUUCUUAUUAAUUAUAACGAUUAUCAAUUAACAAUCAAUUCAGAACUGGCACGGACUUGGGGAAUCCGACUGUCUAAUUAAAACAAAGCAUUGUGAUGGCCCUAGCGGGUGUUGACACAAUGUGAUUUCUGCCCAGUGCUCUGAAUGUCAAAGUGAAGAAAUUCAAGUAAGCGCGGGUCAACGGCGGGAGUAACUAUGACUCUCUUAAGGUAGCCUAAGAUGCAGACGGGCGAUUAUAAGGAGAAAAUAGAGCAGAUAAGAGGGCAAUCAGCUCUCGCCGGAAGUUGCUAAUCUAACAUAGGCGCCGCCUAGUAGAAGUGAGCAAGACCACCAAGUAACAACAUCGAAACAACUCAAUCACUCCCUUCGAACAGUCGAACAGGGAA
This 3392-nucleotide ribosomal RNA is filed under the name Drosophila melanogaster (fruit fly). Its description in RNAcentral is "eukaryotic LSU rRNA". The stretch from base 573 to 3392 matches the Rfam family "Eukaryotic large subunit ribosomal RNA", at positions 1 to 2320 of the family's 3401-position model. Lineage: Eukaryota; Metazoa; Arthropoda; Insecta; Diptera; Drosophilidae. The record is from RNAcentral.